RNAcentral lists this ribosomal RNA (464 nucleotides) under Vreelandella stevensii. Its description in RNAcentral is "partial 16S ribosomal RNA". It matches the Rfam family "Bacterial small subunit ribosomal RNA", at positions 339 to 795 of the family's 1533-position model. Lineage: Bacteria; Pseudomonadati; Pseudomonadota; Gammaproteobacteria; Oceanospirillales; Halomonadaceae. The record is from RNAcentral.
CUACGGGUGGCUGCAGUGGGGAAUAUUGGACAAUGGGCGAAAGCCUGAUCCAGCCAUGCCGCGUGUGUGAAGAAGGCCUUCGGGUUGUAAAGCACUUUCAGUGGGGAAGAAAGCCUUGGGGCUAAUACCCUCGAGGAAGGACAUCACCCACAGAGGAAGCACCGGCUAACUCCGUGCCAGCAGCCGCGGUAAUACGGAGGGUGCGAGCGUUAAUCGGAAUUACUGGGCGUAAAGCGCGCGUAGGCGGUCUGAUAAGCCGGUUGUGAAAGCCCCGGGCUCAACCUGGGAACGGCAUCCGGAACUGUCAGGCUAGAGUGCAGGAGAGGAAGGUAGAAUUCCCGGUGUAGCGGUGAAAUGCGUAGAGAUCGGGAGGAAUACCAGUGGCGAAGGCGGCCUUCUGGACUGACACUGACGCUGAGGUGCGAAAGCGUGGGUAGCAAACAGGAUUAGAUACCCCUGUAGUC